RNAcentral lists this ribosomal RNA (372 nucleotides) under uncultured organism. Its description in RNAcentral is "bacterial SSU rRNA". It matches the Rfam family "Bacterial small subunit ribosomal RNA", at positions 526 to 896 of the family's 1533-position model. The record is from RNAcentral.
CGUAGGGGGCAAGCGUUGUCCGGAUUUAUUGGGCGUAAAGAGCGUGUAGGCGGCCUGACAGGUCUGCUGUGAAAACUCGAGGCUCAACCUCGAGAUGUCGGCGGAAACCGUCUGGCUAGAGUCCGGAAGAGGAGAGUGGAAUUCCUGGUGUAGCGGUGAAAUGCGCAGAUAUCAGGAAGAACACCUAUGGCGGAGGCAGCUCUCUGGGACGGUACUGACGCUGAGACGCGAAAGCGUGGGGAGCGAACAGGAUUAGAUACCCUGGUAGUCCACGCCGUAAACGAUGGGUGCUAGGUGUGGGCGGUGUCGACUCCGUCCGUGCCGAAGCUAACGCAUUAAGCACCCCGCCUGGGGAGUACGGCCGCAAGGCUA